CCUACGGGUGGCAGCAGUGGGGAAUCUUGCGCAAUGGGCGAAAGCCUGACGCAGCGACGCCGCGUGAGUGAUGAAGGCCCUCGGGUUGUAAAGCUCUGUGAAGCGAGUUGCGGUACCUCUUUAGCAAGCACCGGCUAACUCUGUGCCAGCAGCCGCGGUAAGACAGAGGGUGCAAACGUUGUUCGGAAUUACUGGGCGUAAAGCGCGUGUAGGCUGUCUCGAAAGUCGGAUGUGAAAGCCCUGGGCUCAACCUAGGAAGUGCACUCGAAACUGCGAGACUCGAGUCCUGGAGAGGAAGGCGGAAUUCUCGGUGUAGAGGUGAAAUUCGUAGAUAUCGAGAGGAACACCGGUGGCGAAGGCGGCCUUCUGGCAUGACUGACGCUGAGACGCGAAAGCGUGGGGAGCAAACAGGAUUAGAUACCCUUGUAGUC
RNAcentral lists this ribosomal RNA (431 nucleotides) under uncultured bacterium. RNAcentral describes it as "partial 16S ribosomal RNA". It matches the Rfam family "Bacterial small subunit ribosomal RNA", at positions 338 to 795 of the family's 1533-position model. The record is from RNAcentral.